CAGCCGCCGCGGGAAUACAGAGGGUGCGAGCGUUAAUCGGAUUUACUGGGCGUAAAGCGUGCGUAGGCGGCUUUUUAAGUCGGAUGUGAAAUCCAUGAGCUUAACUUAGGAAUUGCAUUCGAUACUGGGAAGCUAGAGUAUGGGAGAGGAUGGUAGAAUUCCAGGUGUAGCGGUGAAAUGCGUAGAGAUCUGGAGGAAUACCGAUGGCGAAGGCAGCCAUCUGGCCUAAUACUGACGCUGAGGUACGAAAGCAUGGGGAGCAAACAGGAUUAGAUACCCCUGUAGUCCCUGUCUCUUAUAC
RNAcentral lists this ribosomal RNA (301 nucleotides) under uncultured bacterium. Its description in RNAcentral is "partial 16S ribosomal RNA". It matches the Rfam family "Bacterial small subunit ribosomal RNA", at positions 509 to 807 of the family's 1533-position model. The record is from RNAcentral.